Molecule: non-coding RNA, 381 nt
Organism: Erinaceus europaeus (western European hedgehog)
Lineage: Eukaryota; Metazoa; Chordata; Mammalia; Eulipotyphla; Erinaceidae
Source: the annotation of a RefSeq genome assembly
GGAGCUGAGUUCACCAUGGCCUGGACUGCUCUUCUUCUCCCCCUCCUUGCUCACUGCACAGGUUCUUGGGCCCAGUCUGUGCUGACUCAACCAUCAUCAGUGUCUGGGACUCUGGGCCAAAGCAUCACAAUUUCCUGCAUUGGAAACAGCAACAAUAUUGGGAAAAAAUAUGUGCAAUGGUAUCAACAACCCUCAGGAACAGCCCCCAAAUUGAUCAUCUACAAAAAUAGCAAUCGACCCUCAGGGAUUCCAGAGAGAUUCUCUGGCUCCAAGUCUGGCACCACAGGCACCCUGACCAUCACUGGGCUCCAGCUUGAAGAUGAGGCUGAUUAUUACUGUCUGACCUACGAUAGCAGUUUCAGUGCUUACACAGUGCUCUAG